CAGUCGCCGCGGUAAUACGUAGGUGGCAAGCGUUGUCCGGAAUUAUCGGGCGUAAGGGCUCGCAGGCGGUUUCUUAAGUCUGAUGUGGAAGCCCCCGGCUCAACCGGGGAGGGUCAUUGGAAACUGGGAAACUUGAGUGCAGAAGAGGAGAGUGGAAUUCCACGUGUAGCGGUGAAAUGCGUAGAGAUGUGGAGGAACACCAGUGGCGAAGGCGGCUCACUGGCUCAUUCUAGACGCUGAGGUGCGAAAGCGUGGGGAGCAAACAGGAUUAGAUACCCGCGUAGUCCCUGUCUCUUAUACA
Molecule: ribosomal RNA, 301 nt
Filed under: uncultured bacterium
Lineage: Bacteria
Description: partial 16S ribosomal RNA
Rfam family: Bacterial small subunit ribosomal RNA
Source: RNAcentral